UCCUCAGUAGCUCAGUGGUA
This 20-nucleotide non-coding RNA is filed under the name Arabidopsis thaliana (thale cress). Lineage: Eukaryota; Viridiplantae; Streptophyta; Magnoliopsida; Brassicales; Brassicaceae. The record is from RNAcentral.